AGCGAACGCUGGCGGCAGGCUUAACACAUGCAAGUCGAACGGGCACUUCGGUGCUAGUGGCAGACGGGUGAGUAACGCGUGGGAACGUGCCUUUCGGUUCGGAAUAAUCCAGGGAAACUUGGACUAAUACCGGAUACGCCCUUCGGGGGAAAGAUUUAUCGCCGAAAGAUCGGCCCGCGUCUGAUUAGCUAGUUGGUGAGGUAAAGGCUCACCAAGGCGACGAUCAGUAGCUGGUCUGAGAGGAUGAUCAGCCACAUUGGGACUGAGACACGGCCCAAACUCCUACGGGAGGCAGCAGCAGGGAAUCUUGGGCAAUGGGCGAAAGCCUGACCCAGCGACGCCGCGUGGAGGAAGAAGUCCUUCGGGGCGUAAACUCCUGGACGUGGGGGACGAGGUAAGGACGGUACCCCAGUAGAAAGGGACGGCUAACUACGUG
RNAcentral lists this ribosomal RNA (436 nucleotides) under uncultured bacterium. RNAcentral describes it as "bacterial SSU rRNA". It matches the Rfam family "Bacterial small subunit ribosomal RNA", at positions 29 to 507 of the family's 1533-position model. The record is from RNAcentral.